AACGAACGCUGGCGGCGUGCUUAAUACAUGCAAGUCGUGCGAGAACGGGUCCUUCGGGCCUUAGUAAAGCGGCGCACGGGUGCGUAACACGUGGGCAACCUGCCCAACGGUUCGGGAUAAGCUCUCGAAAGGGGGUCUAAUACCGAAUGAUAUUCAGACGAGACAUCUCGUUUGACUCAAAGGCGGUGAAAGCCGUCGCCGAUGGAUGGGCCCGCGGCCAUUAGC
This 225-nucleotide ribosomal RNA is filed under the name uncultured bacterium. RNAcentral describes it as "partial 16S ribosomal RNA". It matches the Rfam family "Bacterial small subunit ribosomal RNA", at positions 29 to 245 of the family's 1533-position model. The record is from RNAcentral.